GAUGAAGAACGUAGCGAAAUGCGAUAAGUAGUGUGAAUUGCAGAAUUCAGUGAAUCAUCGAAUCUUUGAGCGCACAUUGCGCCCCUUGGUAUUCCAUGGGGCAUGCCUGUUCGAGCGUCAUUUGUACCUUCAAGCUCUGCUUGGUGUUGGGUGUUUGUCUCGCCUCUGCGUGUAGACUCGCCUUAAAACAAUUGGCAGCCGGCGUAUUGAUUUCGGAGCGCAGUACAUCUCGCGCUUUGCACUCAUAACGACGACGUCCAAAAGUACAUUUUUACACUCUUGACCUCGGAUCAGGUAGGGAUACCCGCUGAACUUAAGCAUAUCAAUAAGCGGAGGA
Molecule: unclassified non-coding RNA, 337 nt
Filed under: soil metagenome
Description: partial contains 5.8S ribosomal RNA, internal transcribed spacer 2, and large subunit ribosomal RNA
Rfam family: 5.8S ribosomal RNA (bases 1-120)
Source: RNAcentral